This 242-nucleotide ribosomal RNA is filed under the name uncultured bacterium. Its description in RNAcentral is "partial 16S ribosomal RNA". It matches the Rfam family "Bacterial small subunit ribosomal RNA", at positions 32 to 258 of the family's 1533-position model. The record is from RNAcentral.
AAUCAACGCUGGCGGCGUGCCUAACACAUGCAAGUCGAACGCGAAAGUCCCGCAAGGGGCAAGUAGAGUGGCAAACGGGUGAGUAACACGUGGGUGACCUGCCUUCGAGUGGGGAUAACGUCCCGAAAGGGACGCUAAUACCGCAUGACAUCCUGCUUUUGGAAAAGCGGAGAUCAAAGCCGGGGAUCGCAAGACCUGGCGCUCGAAGAGGGGCCCGCGCCUGAUUAGCUAGUUGGNGAGGU